GGCGCUGCUAUAAUGCAGUCGAGCGAACAGAUGAGAAGCUUGCUUCUCUGAUGUUAGCGGCGGACGGGUGAGUAACACGUGGGUAACCUACCUAUAAGACUGGGAUAACUCCGGGAAACCGGGGCUAAUACCGGAUAAUAUUUUGAACCGCAUGGUUCAAUAGUGAAAGACGGUUUCGGCUGUCACUUAUAGAUGGACCCGCGCCGUAUUAGCUAGUUGGUAAGGUAACGGCUUACCAAGGCGACGAUACGUAGCCGACCUGAGAGGGUGAUCGGCCACACUGGAACUGAGACACGGUCCAGACUCCUACGGGAGGCAGCAGUAGGGAAUCUUCCGCAAUGGGCGAAAGCCUGACGGAGCAACGCCGCGUGAGUGAUGAAGGUCUUCGGAUCGUAAAACUCUGUUGUUAGGGAAGAACAAAUUUGUUAGUAACUGAACAAGUCUUGACGGUACCUAACCAGAAAGCCACGGCUAACUACGUGCCAGCAGCCGCGGUAAUACGUAGGUGGCAAGCGUUAUCCGGAAUUAUUGGGCGUAAAGCGCGCGUAGGCGGUUUCUUAAGUCUGAUGUGAAAGCCCACGGCUCAACCGUGGAGGGUCAUUGGAAACUGGGAAACUUGAGUGCAGAAGAGGAGAGUGGAAUUCCAUGUGUAGCGGUGAAAUGCGCAGAGAUAUGGAGGAACACCAGUGGCGAAGGCGGCUCUCUGGUCUGUAACUGACGCUGAUGUGCGAAAGCGUGGGGAUCAAACAGGAUUAGAUACCCUGGUAGUCCACGCCGUAAACGAUGAGUGCUAAGUGUUAGGGGGUUUCCGCCCCUUAGUGCUGCAGCUAACGCAUUAAGCACUCCGCCUGGGGAGUACGACCGCAAGGUUGAAACUCAAAGGAAUUGACGGGGACCCGCACAAGCGGUGGAGCAUGUGGUUUAAUUCGAAGCAACGCGAAGAACCUUACCAAAUCUUGACAUCCUUUGACCGCUCUAGAGAUAGAGUCUUCCCCUUCGGGGGACAAAGUGACAGGUGGUGCAUGGUUGUCGUCAGCUCGUGUCGUGAGAUGUUGGGUUAAGUCCCGCAACGAGCGCAACCCUUAAGCUUAGUUGCCAUCAUUAAGUUGGGCACUCUAGGUUGACUGCCGGUGACAAACCGGAGGAAGGUGGGGAUGACGUCAAAUCAUCAUGCCCCUUAUGAUUUGGGCUACACACGUGCUACAAUGGAUAAUACAAAGGGCAGCGAAUCCGCGAGGCCAAGCAAAUCCCAUAAAAUUAUUCUCAGUUCGGAUUGUAGUCUGCAACUCGACUACAUGAAGCUGGAAUCGCUAGUAAUCGUAGAUCAGCAUGCUACGGUGAAUACGUUCCCGGGUCUUGUACACACCGCCCGUCACACCACGAGAGUUUGUAACACCCGAAGCCGGUGGAGUAACCUUUUAGGAGCUAGCCGUCGAAGUGACAAG
This 1445-nucleotide ribosomal RNA is filed under the name bacterium. RNAcentral describes it as "bacterial SSU rRNA". It matches the Rfam family "Bacterial small subunit ribosomal RNA". The record is from RNAcentral.